GGCCAGAUAGCUCAACGGUAGAGCACUCGGUUGAAGCCCGAGGUACGAAGGUUCGAUUCCUUCUCUGGCCACCA
Molecule: transfer RNA, 74 nt
Filed under: marine sediment metagenome
Description: tRNA-Phe
Rfam family: tRNA
About the family: Transfer RNA (tRNA) molecules are approximately 80 nucleotides in length. Their secondary structure includes four short double-helical elements and three loops (D, anti-codon, and T loops). Further hydrogen bonds mediate the characteristic L-shaped molecular structure. tRNAs have two regions of fundamental functional importance: the anti-codon, which is responsible for specific mRNA codon recognition, and the 3' end, to which the tRNAs corresponding amino acid is attached (by aminoacyl-tRNA synthetases). tRNAs cope with the degeneracy of the genetic code in two manners: having more than one tRNA (with a specific anti-codon) for a particular amino acid; and 'wobble' base-pairing, i.e. permitting non-standard base-pairing at the 3rd anti-codon position.
Source: RNAcentral